AAUGGGGGAAACCCUGAUCCAGCCAUGCCGCGUGGAUGAAGAAGGCCCUAGGGUUGUAAAGUCCUUUCGCUAGGGAAGAUAAUGACGGUACCUAGAUAAGAGGCCCCGGCUAAUUUCGUGCCAGCAGCCGCGGUAAUACGGAAGGGGCUAGCGUUGUUCGGAAUUACUGGGCGUAAAGCGCACGUAGGCGGCCUGCCAAGUUAGGGGUGAAAUCCCGGAGCUCAACUCCGGAACUGCCCUUAAAACUGGUAAGCUUGAGGAUGUGAGAGGAGAGUGGAAUUCCGAGUGUAGAGGUGAAAUUCGUAGAUAUUCGGAAGAACACCAGUGGCGAAGGCGACUCUCUGGCACAUUUCUGACGCUGAGGUGCGAAAGCGUGGGGAGCAAACAGGAUU
RNAcentral lists this ribosomal RNA (392 nucleotides) under uncultured Gammaproteobacteria bacterium. RNAcentral's name for it is "bacterial SSU rRNA". It matches the Rfam family "Bacterial small subunit ribosomal RNA", at positions 370 to 779 of the family's 1533-position model. Lineage: Bacteria; Pseudomonadati; Pseudomonadota; Gammaproteobacteria. The record is from RNAcentral.